RNAcentral lists this ribosomal RNA (435 nucleotides) under uncultured bacterium. RNAcentral describes it as "bacterial SSU rRNA". It matches the Rfam family "Bacterial small subunit ribosomal RNA", at positions 43 to 524 of the family's 1533-position model. The record is from RNAcentral.
CAGGCCUAACACAUGCAAGUCGAACGGACCCUUCGGGGUUAGUGGCGGACGGGUGAGUAACACGUGGGAACGUGCCCUUAGCUUCGGAACAACCCAGGGAAACUUGGGCUAAUACCGGAUAUGCCCUUCGGGGGAAAGAUUUAUCGGCUUUGGAGCGGCCCGCGUCUGAUUAGCUAGUUGGUGGGGUAAUGGCCUACCAAGGCGACGAUCAGUAGCUGGUCUGAGAGGAUGACCAGCCACAUUGGGACUGAGACACGGCCCAAACUCCUACGGGAGGCAGCAGUGGGGAAUCUUGCGCAAUGGGCGAAAGCCUGACGCAGCCAUGCCGCGUGGAUGAUGAAGGUCUUAGGAUUGUAAAAUCCUUUCAGCGGGGACGAUAAUGACGGUACCCGCAGAAGAAGCCCCGGCUAACUUCGUGCCAGCAGCCGCGGUAAU